RNAcentral lists this long non-coding RNA (543 nucleotides) under Drosophila melanogaster (fruit fly). RNAcentral's name for it is "long non-coding RNA:CR43827 (Dmel_CR43827)". The record is from RNAcentral. Lineage: Eukaryota; Metazoa; Arthropoda; Insecta; Diptera; Drosophilidae.
AAAUAAGUAUCAAAAUAAGUUACUAGCAACACAAUACCCAAACAAGGUGCAGCUUUAAAAACAUAUAUAAAUGUUAUUAUGAAUAUUUUGAAUCACACAAGACGAAUUAAUACGUCAAACAGUUGUGUAAGUAAGUGUAUGGAAAGUUCGGCUUUAAGCUGACCUCCUCUUCUUUCCGUUUCGAAUAAUGGCUAUAAAUCCACUUUCCGCUGCUCCUUUGGAAUUUCCUGCUUAUGACGCCUGUUCCGGAAUUGCUGUGCGGUGAAAAAAGCAAGAAAAAUGCCUCCAUUGCAAAGGAUCCUGUGGCUGCGCGUCAUUUGUUUCCCGUUUGCCACCGCAGCACCGUGCGUUCAAUUGAAACAGAAAUUUAAGCUGAACAGAACUUGCAGUGCACAUUGAAUUCGCAUACUUAAUCCCACUAAAUAAAUAAAUUCAAAGAAACACACAUACACAGUGUCCAAAAGAACGAUAAAUAAACAUUGCUUGUAUGCAAUAUCACGACAUGUUAAUACAAUAUAUAAAAUAAACAAAGCCUUUGACUGG